GCGCUCCCUCCCUCCUCCGCACAGACACCGGCACAGGGACACGGGGACAGCUCGAGGGCUCCAAGGGCUCCGAGAGACUGGCGGUGCAGUGGACGCUCAUGUGGAAAGCCAGCCAGAAUGGUCAAGAGGUCCUUUCUCCUUCCUUCAACCUGAGAACUUGGCAAUGAUCAAAAGGAGGUGAUUAGUAGCUACAGAGAAAAGACACCAGCAGGCAAGGAGUUAACAGACGCUGAGCCCUUCACCCCCAGGUUCGGGAUGGGGGAGCGGUGGAGAGAGCUGGUCACAAAGGCGAGGGGUCCUGGUGAAAAAGCCCACGUCCUAGAAGCCAACUUUGAAGAACAAAGUAGAGGAUCCAUUAAAAGUUAAUUCAGUAAAUAAACUUCAUUGGCGAUAAAACAAACAAGAAAGAUGGAAGCGCCAACUUAAAAUAGCCAAAAGAUAAUAAAAAUAAAUAGUUUUGAUGUGGCCUCAACAUGUGCUGUGCCUUUUGGCAGGCAGGUCCCUACCCUGGUCCACCCUGCAGAGGCCUCCAUGGAGCACCCUCUCUCCUUUUGAAAAGCCCUCAUGUGUACACGCAAUGUUUUUUGGCAUUUGUCAUUUUUAGGCAACUUCACACAUCAAAGGCGAGCACAAUGUUCUUUUCAGCUCCCUGGUUCCAGCCGCCCAGUGAAGCAGAUACAAUUUCUAUAAAUUGGCCUUCUCCUCUGGGUUUUGAUUGAUCAUCACCAUAUGAGAUUAUUGAAAGUCUAAUGUCUUAUUUCACUUUCCCCGAGGGGUGAGGAGGGGAACAGUUUAUUGGAAGUCAGGCCACGUGAAGGCUCCGAUGUUGUGCAAUAGUCGUUUCCAUGAGCCUGGGCAGAUCAGCCUCCGGAAACUCCCAUGCAUCUCCUGCCGGUUCCUUGUACCACCUUCCCCAUACCCCCUCGAGGUCUCGGCUCCAGUCUCCAGUCGUUGUUAACAGGUACAGAACAGACUGGAGCCUUCUGGAGCCUUUGUAGUUGCAAGUAGAAAAUGGCUGUUGACUAAAAAUAAGGCAACAAAAGAUUCAUUUUUUAACGUAUUUAUUAUAACUCAAGAAUCCCCUCUUGAGGAUUGUUUCUCACUCCAAACUUUCGUGUUCCCCUUUUGCCUCGAUACCAUCUUUCAUUUUAUUAAAGUUGAUUAUGGUUCCUCUGUCUUGUCCUCAG
This 1187-nucleotide long non-coding RNA is filed under the name Equus caballus (horse). RNAcentral describes it as "lncRNA (ENSECAG00000059040.1)". Lineage: Eukaryota; Metazoa; Chordata; Mammalia; Perissodactyla; Equidae. The record is from RNAcentral.